Microcebus murinus (gray mouse lemur) is the source of this 838-nucleotide non-coding RNA. Lineage: Eukaryota; Metazoa; Chordata; Mammalia; Primates; Cheirogaleidae. The record is from RefSeq and is a predicted model, not a curated record.
AGCUCUUCCAGCUGUAGUGAAUUCAGGUGGAGGUGGCAUCAUCCAGGACAAUGGCGUCGUCUUCGCUCCCACUGCCGAGGUUAUUCACCAGCUUGUUCAUCAGAUUCCUGUUCUGUUCACUGGACCGCUCAUGGUUGUUCAGGGCUCUAAACGACAGCAUGAAGAAAAGGAAAGAAAAAACAACAAGUAAGCUUACAGCGACAGUAGAAGAAACAUGAGUAAAAAGCAAAUUGAUGAUAUGCAGAAAAAAGAGUCAAGGAAAUAAUUUUCACUGCCCCAAAAUUCAUCCUGCCAAGCAUUUAUAGCAAGAACCUUUGCCCCUGAUUGACUGGAAAUCAAUAUCUAAUAGAUGUCAUUUUGCCACAUGAAUGAAGAGUUCAUUCUGAAAAUUAUUUGGCGUUCUUGGCUUAAAACUUAGUAUAUUAAUAGCAUUGUUUAUCUAUUUGACUCACCAUCUCACUUUUUAAGUCUGUACCUAUUUUGCCUUUGUGUCAUUAAACUGAUUUUCCUAACACAGAUUUCCUUGUUUUAUUGUUCCUUUCCCGAUUAUGUCUAUUGAUGACAGAUACAAAGAAAAGAAAUUAACACAGAGAACACUGUUGCCUCAUUAACACAUCAAUAAUAAGAAGAACAAAAUUACAGACAUACUAGACAUAAUGGUGAAUCUCAAAAGAAAACUUCACUCAUGCCAUAGGGUACUUAUAUUCACAUUCAUAUGAUCAUAUUGCCUGUUAAAACGAAAAUAGUUUGUUAUACAAGCUACUCUGAUUUGUUAGCUAUGUAAGUACUAUGGGGAUAUUAAUAACUGUUUUUGCAAAUUUCAUAAAUAGAUGUCAGA